Molecule: transfer RNA, 75 nt
Filed under: Candidatus Moranbacteria bacterium RIFOXYA12_FULL_44_15
Lineage: Bacteria; Candidatus Moraniibacteriota
Also listed under: 1 other name
Description: tRNA-Gln
Rfam family: tRNA
About the family: Transfer RNA (tRNA) molecules are approximately 80 nucleotides in length.
Source: RNAcentral
UGCCCGGUCGCCAAGCGGUAAGGCAGUGGAUUUUGGAUCCACCAUUCGCAGGUUCGAAUCCUGCCCGGGCAACAA